GAUGAACGCUGGCGGCGUGCCUAAUACAUGCAAGUCGAGCGAACAGACGAGGAGCUUGCUCCUCUGACGUUAGCGGCGGACGGGUGAGUAACACGUGGAUAACCUACCUAUAAGACUGGGAUAACUUCGGGAAACCGGAGCUAAUACCGGAUAAUAUAUUGAACCGCAUGGUUCAAUAGUGAAAGACGGUUUUGCUGUCACUUAUAGAUGGAUCCGCGCCGCAUUAGCUAGUUGGUAAGGUAACGGCUUACCAAGGCAACGAUGCGUAGCCGACCUGAGAGGGUGAUCGGCCACACUGGAACUGAGACACGGUCCAGACUCCUAAGGGAGGCAGCAGUAGGGAAUCUUCCGCAGUGGGCGAAAGCCUGACGGAGCAACGCCGCGUGAGUGAUGAAGGUCUUCGGAUCGUAAAACGCUGUUAUUAGGGAAGAACAAAUGUGUAAGUAACUAUGCACGUCUUGACGGUACCUAAUCAGAAAGCCACGGCUAACUACGU
This 496-nucleotide ribosomal RNA is filed under the name uncultured bacterium. RNAcentral describes it as "partial 16S ribosomal RNA". It matches the Rfam family "Bacterial small subunit ribosomal RNA", at positions 28 to 506 of the family's 1533-position model. The record is from RNAcentral.